AAAUUGAAGAGUUUGAUCAUGGCUCAGAUUGAACGCUGGCGGCAGGCCUAACACAUGCAAGUCGAGCGGUAGCACAGGAGAGCUUGCUCUCCGGGUGACGAGCGGCGGACGGGUGAGUAAUGUCUGGGAAACUGCCUGAUGGAGGGGGAUAACUACUGGAAACGGUAGCUAAUACCGCAUAACGUCGCAAGACCAAAGAGGGGGACCUUCGGGCCUCUUGCCAUCAGAUGUGCCCAGAUGGGAUUAGCUAGUAGGUGGGGUAACGGCUCACCUAGGCGACGAUCCCUAGCUGGUCUGAGAGGAUGACCAGCCACACUGGAACUGAGACACGGUCCAGACUCCUACGGGAGGCAGCAGUGGGGAAUAUUGCACAAUGGGCGCAAGCCUGAUGCAGCCAUGCCGCGUGUAUGAAGAAGGCCUUCGGGUUGUAAAGUACUUUCAGCGGGGAGGAAGGUGUUGUGGUUAAUAACCACAGCAAUUGACGUUACCCGCAGAAGAAGCACCGGCUAACUCCGUGCCAGCAGCCGCGGUAAUACGGAGGGUGCAAGCGUUAAUCGGAAUUACUGGGCGUAAAGCGCACGCAGGCGGUCUGUCAAGUCGGAUGUGAAAUCCCCGGGCUCAACCUGGGAACUGCAUUCGAAACUGGCAGGCUAGAGUCUUGUAGAGGGGGGUAGAAUUCCAGGUGUAGCGGUGAAAUGCGUAGAGAUCUGGAGGAAUACCGGUGGCGAAGGCGGCCCCCUGGACAAAGACUGACGCUCAGGUGCGAAAGCGUGGGGAGCAAACAGGAUUAGAUACCCUGGUAGUCCACGCCGUAAACGAUGUCGACUUGGAGGUUGUGCCCUUGAGGCGUGGCUUCCGGAGCUAACGCGUUAAGUCGACCGCCUGGGGAGUACGGCCGCAAGGUUAAAACUCAAAUGAAUUGACGGGGGCCCGCACAAGCGGUGGAGCAUGUGGUUUAAUUCGAUGCAACGCGAAGAACCUUACCUACUCUUGACAUCCAGAGAACUUAGCAGAGAUGCUUUGGUGCCUUCGGGAACUCUGAGACAGGUGCUGCAUGGCUGUCGUCAGCUCGUGUUGUGAAAUGUUGGGUUAAGUCCCGCAACGAGCGCAACCCUUAUCCUUUGUUGCCAGCGGUUAGGCCGGGAAC
RNAcentral lists this ribosomal RNA (1147 nucleotides) under Enterobacter asburiae. RNAcentral describes it as "bacterial SSU rRNA". It matches the Rfam family "Bacterial small subunit ribosomal RNA", at positions 1 to 1138 of the family's 1533-position model. Lineage: Bacteria; Pseudomonadati; Pseudomonadota; Gammaproteobacteria; Enterobacterales; Enterobacteriaceae. The record is from RNAcentral.